CAGUUUUAGAUUCUAUUAAAAUCCAGUCAUAGAUUCAACCACUUUAUAACAUGAAGUUCUGCUGUUCCAAACAUUCACAGUCUUUACAAACAGCUGGAAGACUUCUCCCACAUUGCUCUCCUGACAUGUUUACCUCAACUAGACAGCAUCAACCUCCACUAGAGGGCGACAUUAUCUAGUAGGUGGUACAAAACCCAGAUACUGAGCUCAACCUGUCUUUGAAUAAUAACUUCUGCUGAGAAGAGAACAAACGUCACUCUGAAUGUUGAACAUCAGAGAGUUCCUCCUGUUGGUUUAAACCUUGUUGUAGAGAUGGAACUUUGGCUGUGGAUUAUUCUGGCUGCUCUUUUAUUAGAGUGUAAAGGAGAAGACAGAGUGAUCCAGCCAACAGAAGAUGUCUUUGCUUCUGAAGGAGACACAGUCACACUUGAUUGUAAAUUUGAGACAACUGACACAACCCCCUCUUUGUUCUGGUACAGACAAGAAAUGGGUGAUUUCCCAAAGUACCUGUGGAAAAGCUAUGGAAGUUUUUCAGGAAAUGCUCCUGGGAUCUCAGAUGACAGAUUUAAAGCUGCAAAAAAUGGUACAUCAGUUCCUCUGAAGAUCCAGAAGCUUCAGCUGAAUGACUCUGCUGUGUACUACUGUGCUCUGAAGCCCACAGUGACAGGAAACACCACAACUCUGUACAAAAACCUCUGGAGAGAAGACAACACAAUACUCUCCCACAUCCACUAGAGAAAGUCACUGUUCAAACAUACUGUUCAUAGUCUGAUUGAAAUAUCAAAACUUGAGCUUUUCUUACAUUUCAAGGAGGAGCACAGUUUAAAGUUAAGACGUCACUUUUUAGCUGUUAUGACACACUGACCAAUUGCCUAUUUAACAACUCAGCAGCCUGUCAUGGGGUCUUUGAUGACACGUGGAUGAUUGCAUCGUCGACAUACAACUGGCAACAAACAUCUUCACAGCUGUCUGGUAGUUGGUUAAUGUAUAGGCAAAAGAGCAGCGGCCCCAGAAUGGAGCCUUGUGGUACGCCAACAUUACAGUGUUGAGAGGAUGAUAUUGAACUAUUGAUUUUAACUCAUUGCUUUCAAAAUUCCAGAUAUGACUUAAAUCACCUGAGAGCUUGAUUACAGAA
Molecule: non-coding RNA, 1135 nt
Organism: Labrus mixtus (cuckoo wrasse)
Lineage: Eukaryota; Metazoa; Chordata; Actinopteri; Labriformes; Labridae
Source: the annotation of a RefSeq genome assembly